UGGAUCUAUUCUAUGGAAAAGAGUGCAUAAAA
This 32-nucleotide non-coding RNA is filed under the name Homo sapiens (human). The record is from RNAcentral. Lineage: Eukaryota; Metazoa; Chordata; Mammalia; Primates; Hominidae.